This 301-nucleotide ribosomal RNA is filed under the name uncultured bacterium. RNAcentral describes it as "partial 16S ribosomal RNA". It matches the Rfam family "Bacterial small subunit ribosomal RNA", at positions 509 to 808 of the family's 1533-position model. The record is from RNAcentral.
CAGUAGCCACGGGAAUACAGAGGGUGCAAGCGUUAAUCGGAAUUACUGGGCGUAAAGCGCGCGUAGGUGGUUUGUUAAGUUGGAUGUGAAAGCCCCGGGCUCAACCUGGGAACUGCAUCCAAAACUGGCAAGCUAGAGUACGGUAGAGGGUGGUGGAAUUUCCUGUGUAGCGGUGAAAUGCGUAGAUAUAGGAAGGAACACCAGUGGCGAAGGCGACCACCUGGACUGAUACUGACACUGAGGUGCGAAAGCGUGGGGAGCAAACAGGAUUAGAUACCCCCAGUAGUCCCUGUCUCUUAUA